AAAGAAUUAGUUAAAUUCAUAUAACAUAAACAUGUCAAGUUUAAAUUAUUUUAAAAUAUUCUUUU
Molecule: transfer RNA, 65 nt
Filed under: Molannodes epaphos
Lineage: Eukaryota; Metazoa; Arthropoda; Insecta; Trichoptera; Molannidae
Description: tRNA-Asp
Source: RNAcentral